RNAcentral lists this ribosomal RNA (463 nucleotides) under uncultured bacterium. RNAcentral's name for it is "partial 16S ribosomal RNA". It matches the Rfam family "Bacterial small subunit ribosomal RNA", at positions 28 to 507 of the family's 1533-position model. The record is from RNAcentral.
GACGAACGCUGGCGGCGUGCUUAACACAUGCAAGUCGAACGGAAAGGCCUUUUCGGAGGUACUCGAGUGGCGAACGGGUGAGUAACACGUGGGUGAUCUGCCCUGCACUCUGGGAUAAGCCUGGGAAACUGGGUCUAAUACCGGAUAGGACCGCACUUUAGUGUGUGUGGUGGAAAGUUUUUUCGGUGUAGGAUGAGCCCGCGGCCUAUCAGCUUGUUGGUGGGGUAAUGGCCUACCAAGGCGGCGACGGGUAGCCGGACUGAGAGGUUGGUCGGCCACAUUGGGACUGAGAUACGGCCCAGACUCCUACGGGAGGCGGCAGUGGGGAAUAUUGCACAAUGGGCGCAAGCCUGAUGCAGCGACGCCGCGUGGGGGAUGACGGCCUUCGGGUUGUAAACUCCUUUCGCCAGGGACGAAGCGUUUUGUGACGGUACCUGGAGAAGAAGCACCGGCUAACUACGUG